GCUCACUCUUUUCCUCUAACCAGCCCACUCGCCUCCUUUUGGUCUCUCUGUCUCCCCACUCCGCAUGGGUACCAAGAACUUUGUGGGAGAGGAUGGCAUAGCCCUCCCAGUUGUCUUUUGCUGAAGAAUGUUCCUGAAUCAAGACAACCUCUUGCCUCUCUCCCUUGCCUCCUUCUCCAGGAAUGUGAUGGAGGAAGGACUCUAAGGGAAAAGGUCUCUUUUGCCAAAGAAUAACAACAAGAAGGAUGACAGUUGGAGUACAAUGCUGCCCUCUUCAUGCAGGGUGAUAAGGCUCAACCUCUACCAGUUGACAGGAGCAGACAGAAGCAAAUCCAGUUUGUUUCAGCUCAUAUCCUCUCCCAACUUUAUUCUGAAAACUUUUAUGCCUGAGUUGGGAGUGUUUGUGUCCUCCCAAAUUCAUCUGUUAAAAUUCCAGACUCUUGGGCUGGGAAGGUGGCUCAGUGGUAGAGUGUUUGCCUUGCAUGCAUGAAGCC
Long non-coding RNA from Dipodomys ordii (Ord's kangaroo rat), 494 nucleotides. RefSeq lists it as uncharacterized. The record is from RefSeq and is a predicted model, not a curated record. The transcript is spliced from 4 exons. Lineage: Eukaryota; Metazoa; Chordata; Mammalia; Rodentia; Heteromyidae.